Molecule: ribosomal RNA, 447 nt
Filed under: uncultured bacterium
Lineage: Bacteria
Description: bacterial SSU rRNA
Rfam family: Bacterial small subunit ribosomal RNA
Source: RNAcentral
UGGGGAAUAUUGGACAAUGGGCGCAAGCCUGAUCCAGCCAUGCCGCGUGGAUGAUGAAGGCCUUAGGGUUGUAAAAUCCUUUCGUUGGGGACGAUAAUGACGGUACCCAAAGAAGAAGCUCCGGCUAACUUCGUGCCAGCAGCCGCGGUAAUACGAAGGGGGCUAGCGUUGUUCGGAUUUACUGGGCGUAAAGCGCGUGUAGGCGGACUUGUAAGUUGGGGGUGAAAUCCCGAGGCUCAACCUCGGAACUGCCUCCAAAACUACAAAUCUGGACCUAAGUAGAGGCAAGUGGAAUUGCGAGUGUAGAGGUGAAAUUCGUAGAUAUUCGCAGGAACACCAGUGGCGAAGGCGACUUGCUGGACUUAUGGUGACGCUGAGACGCGAAAGCGUGGGGAGCAAACAGGAUUAGAUACCCAAGUAGUCCCUGAGCGGGCUGGCAAGGCGCAU